Molecule: long non-coding RNA, 2549 nt
Organism: Acanthopagrus latus (yellowfin seabream)
Lineage: Eukaryota; Metazoa; Chordata; Actinopteri; Spariformes; Sparidae
Exons: 2
Source: RefSeq, a predicted model, not a curated record
GCUAUUUAUAUUUGUUCCUAAUGAGGUGAGAUUUCUCUCCGCCAUAGCAACGGUCUCUAUGGAUACCCUGCACUUGGAUACCAGAUCCCAUCCUGUUUUAAAUCUCUUAUUAUGGGCUGCGCCUUUCCCCCCGUGUAUCGUAGCCUAAUUAAUUCUGAAUUAUCGCCCGUCGUUUGUGUGAACGGUGCAGAAAACGCCCUCGAAUUGCCACCGAGAUGACGGCAUCAGCACGAGUUUAGAUCACAAAAGCCACAGAUGACUGUCGUGCGACCGGUCAAUAUUUGGCGUCAAGUAGAUCAAUGUUGGAGCACUCGGGCGCGCAACCUGAUGCACGGCUCGUUUUUUUUUGUUUUGUCGUUUUGGUUUUUUUUUUUUUACUUCGGGAGUACUACAGGUGCCCUUAUUAUUAGAUGUGAAGUGCGCGCACAUACACACACACACGGUAGUAUCUGUCUUAGCUGCUGUAGAGACUCUGAUGUGUUGUGCUAUUUAUCAGGUCUGAGCCGAGUUGAAGGAGCCGGUUGUGGCGCAAGACCCAGGCAGCCGAGCUCAGAUCAUUAGAGGCGCUCUCUGCGGCGCAGGGUCGCACAGGUGUUGAGGCCCGCCAUCUCAUUUCCCGCCACAAAGCGAGACAACCAAUCAAUAAAGAAGAAGCGGCAGAGCAGCUUCUGGGGGGAAAAGCCACAGCAGUGAGAGCACGCUCGCUCGCACGCGCACACACAAACACACACACACACACACACACACGCAUUCGGAUGGUCUAUGUGUCUUUGUAUUAACAGUAAGGCUCGGAGAUGUUCCCCUCCUGCCUUCCGAUGACAGACGCUCCAAGACAGCUGCAUGCACAUGUACUCACGCAGAUACACACUUGAGACUGACGUGAUGUUAUGAGACGUUUAUGAGCCAAGAGAUACUGACCAGCGAAGACAACUCACUGCCAACGAUUUGCGGCUUGGACAGCAAGGACAGACGAAUGGUAAGCAAAAACAGAUGAGCCAGGGGAGAGGGGAAAAAAAAACGGAGGGGAGAGCAGCUGAGGAUACAAAAAGACAGGUGGUAUUACAAAAAAAAAAAGCUUAGGAGCAAAGGAAAAUAUGAUGAAGGGAGUCUGAUAGGAAGGAAAACAAAGGAUAGGAGAGCGCUCAGGGAAAGUAAAGUGAAAUAUGGGGAGGAUCUUUUUUUUUUUUUUUUUUUUUUUAAGAGUUGAGCUGAGAGGAACUCGAGAAGACAGAUUAGACAGAGAGAAGAGAGGGGAAAAUGGAAAGAGGUGGAGUGAUGGAUGCAGGCAGGGGACCAGCAGCUCUCUGCCAACAUCUCCAUGCAUCCUUCCAGACAUCACACUGCGCUGCCAUCUGCCUCCCUGCCACACACACACACACACACACACAGACACACACACACACACACACACACACACACAGAGGGAGGAGAUAUGUGAAAUCAUUAGCGUCUCCUGACACUGAAUAAAUAUCUGGGGAUGAAAUCUGUCUGUGGAGAAAUCACCUGCGGGGAAAUAUGAUUGGAUGAGAUCACGACCUCGCUGGAACGUAAUUUGCAUGUCAUCUAAAUGGGCUCUGCCCCCAAUGCUCAGGAGGUCAAAAGGCGUCCGAUUAGUCGGAUGGCACAACUCACUCUCUGAUUGGCUGAAAGGAGCAACAAUGCAAGUGAACUCCUGCUCAGCUGGCUGCUUCCUCUGUGAGCUGCAGGACUGCCCUCUUCUGGCUGCUUUACAAACCUCCAGUUUGAUUAAUAAAAAAACAUUUAAAAAAAAAAACAAGACACAAUCAACACAUCCAACAUUUAAAGACAGACAGAUUCUGGCUGGCAGUUGUUGUUUUUAAUCACAUUAGAGCUGAGGAAUAAAAAUAAACACAAAGAGCAUGAGAGGGCAGCACACAGAGUGUCUCAGUUAACAGAGUCUUAUUUAUACAUAUAUUUAUAUAAUAGAAUCAUUUCUCCCACUUAAACAGCCUCUGAUUGUAACACAGAAAUAUACCAACGUUCCCUGGGUGAGAGAGAAGAGAAAAAGAGCAAAAAACAACCAGACCAGAACUCUCAACAGUCUUCAUCUACAUUAGAAAACCUACAGGCCAUUCGUUUUUAUAGGUUUAUAUAUCAGCGAGGCAUCAGUAUUCAUUACAAAAAUAGGAAUAUAGUUGAUAUAGAAGCACUGGGGGUUGACUGAGUGGGUGGGGGAGUGAGGAUGUGGCUGUGGCCUCCCAUCAGUGGCAUGACUAGUAAUGACCACCCAUCCGCCCACUCAACAAAUCCACCCGGCCCAGGAAACAUCCUAGGGUUCUGUGCGCCUCCAUGAGUGUUGUGCAGCAGUCCAGCCCAGACAAAGAGUCAGUUAUCAAUGGAAACCAGUUAGGGUUUAAAUUAAACCAUUAACAAAAAAAAACAUUAGAAAAUGAGUACAUAAAAAACAACCGUACAGGCAAAAGGAGGGGGUUAGUGCAUCGAUGAAUAUGAAACAGUUCAAGAAAAGUGCCGUCAGAACCAAGAAAACAUGAUCUAGGAAAGGAAAAGGGAGUGCGCGAUGAGGAGGA